CACGCCGUAAACUAAUGCGCGUUAGGUGUAUCGGUGACCACGAGUUACCGAGGUGCCGAAGGGAAACCGUGAAACGUGCCGCCUGGGAAGUACGGUCGCAAGGCUGAAACUUAAAGGAAUUGGCGGGGGAGGCACCACAACAGGUGGAGCCUGCGGUUUAAUUGGACUCAACGCCGGGAAGCUCACCGGAUAGGACAGCAGAAUGAUUGCCGGGCUGAAGACCCUGCAUGACUAGCUGAGAGGAGGUGCAUGGCGUAGACGUCU
RNAcentral lists this ribosomal RNA (264 nucleotides) under uncultured archaeon. RNAcentral describes it as "partial 16S ribosomal RNA". It matches the Rfam family "Archaeal small subunit ribosomal RNA", at positions 747 to 1009 of the family's 1478-position model. The record is from RNAcentral.